GAUGAACGCUGGCGGCGUGCCUAAUACAUGCAAGUCGAGCGAACAGACGAGGAGCUUGCUCCUCUGACGUUAGCGGCGGACGGGUGAGUAACACGUGGAUAACCUACCUAUAAGACUGGGAUAACUUCGGGAAACCGGAGCUAAUACCGGAUAAUAUAUUGAACCGCAUGGUUCAAUAGUGAAAGACGGUUUUGCUGUCACUUAUAGAUGGAUCCGCGCCGCAUUAGCUAGUUGGUAAGGUAACGGCUUACCAAGGCAACGAUGCGUAGCCGACCUGAGAGGGGGACGGGCCACACUGGAACUGAGACACGGCCCAGACCCCUAGGGGAGGCAGAAGUGGGGAAUCUUCCGCAAUGGGCGAAAGCCUGACGGAGCAACGCCGGGUGGGUGAUGAAGGUUUUCGGAUUGUAAAACUCUUUUAUUAGGGAAGAAAAAAUGUGAAAGUAACUAUGCACGUUUUGACGGUACCUAAUCAGAAAGCCACGGCUAACUACGU
Molecule: ribosomal RNA, 496 nt
Filed under: uncultured bacterium
Lineage: Bacteria
Description: partial 16S ribosomal RNA
Rfam family: Bacterial small subunit ribosomal RNA
Source: RNAcentral